UGUUUGAUGUUCUAACGUGGACCCGUGAUCCGGGUUGCGGACAGUGUCUGGUGGGUAGUUUGACUGGGGCGGUCUCCUCCUAAAGAGUAACGGAGGAGCACGAAGGUUGGCUAAUCCUGGUCGGACAUCAGGAGGUUAGUGCAAUGGCAUAAGCCAGCUUGACUGCGAGCGUGACGGCGCGAGCAGGUGCGAAAGCAGGUCAUAGUGAUCCGGUGGUUCUGAAUGGAAGGGCCAUCGCUCAACGGAUAAAAGGUACUCCGGGGAUAACAGGCUGAUACCGCCCAAGAGUUCAUAUCGACGGCGGUGUUUGGCACCUCGAUGUCGGCUCAUCACAUCCUGGGGCUGAAGUAGGUCCCAAGGGUAUGGCUGUUCGCCAUUUAAAGUGGUACGCGAGCUGGGUUUAGAACGUCGUGAGACAGUUCGGUCCCUAUCUGCCGUGGGCGCUGGAGAACUGAGGGGGGCUGCUCCUAGUACGAGAGGACCGGAGUGGACGCAUCACUGGUGUUCGGGUUGUCAUGCCAAUGGCACUGCCCGGUAGCUAAAUGCGGAAGAGAUAAGUGCUGAAAGCAUCUAA
RNAcentral lists this ribosomal RNA (574 nucleotides) under Salmonella enterica. Its description in RNAcentral is "partial 23S ribosomal RNA". It matches the Rfam family "Bacterial large subunit ribosomal RNA", at positions 2211 to 2784 of the family's 2925-position model. Lineage: Bacteria; Pseudomonadati; Pseudomonadota; Gammaproteobacteria; Enterobacterales; Enterobacteriaceae. The record is from RNAcentral. RNAcentral also lists the same sequence under 1 other name.